CCUACGGGUGGCAGCAGUGGGGGAUAUUGCACAAUGGGGGAAACCCUGAUGCAGCGACGCCGCGUGUGGGAAGACGGUCUUCUGGAUUGUAAACCACUGUCCCCAGGGACGAAAAUGACGGUACCUGGGGAGGAAGCUCCGGCUAACUACGUGCCAGCAGCCGCGGUAAUACGUAGGGAGCAAGCGUGGUCCGGAAUUACUGGGUGUAAAGGGAGCGUAGGCGGGGAUGCAAGGUGGGUGUCAAAACUACCGGCUCAACCGAUAGUCGCACUCAAAACUGCAACUCUUGAGUGAAGUAGAGGCAGGCGGAAUUCCUAGUGUAGCGGUGAAAUGCGUAGAUAUUAGGAGGAACACCAGUGGCGAAGGCGGCCUGCUGGGCUUUUACUGACGCUGAGGCUCGAAAGUGUGGGGAGCAAACAGGAUUAGAUACCCCUGUAGUC
RNAcentral lists this ribosomal RNA (440 nucleotides) under uncultured bacterium. Its description in RNAcentral is "partial 16S ribosomal RNA". It matches the Rfam family "Bacterial small subunit ribosomal RNA", at positions 338 to 795 of the family's 1533-position model. The record is from RNAcentral.